AGCUCCAAUAGCGUAUAUUAAAGUUGUUGCAGUUAAAAAGCUCGUAGUUGAACCUUGGGCCUGGCUGGCCGGUCCGCCUCACGGCGUGCACUGGUCCGGCUGGGCCCCUCCUUCUGGGGAGCCCCAUGCCCUUCAUUGGGUGUGGGGGGAACCAGGACUUUUACUGUGAAAAAAUUAGAGUGUUCAAAGCAGGCCUUUGCUCGGAUACAUUAGCAUGGAAUAAUAGAAUAGGGCGGGCCCCCUAUUUUGUUGGUUUCUAGGGGAGCCGCAAUGAUUAAUAGGGACAGUCGGGGGCAUCAGUAUUCAAUCGUCAGAGGUGAAAUUCUUGGAUCGAUUGAAGACUAACUACUGCGAAAGCAUUUGCCAAGGAUGUUUUCA
RNAcentral lists this ribosomal RNA (378 nucleotides) under uncultured eukaryote. RNAcentral's name for it is "SSU rRNA". It matches the Rfam family "Eukaryotic small subunit ribosomal RNA", at positions 587 to 972 of the family's 1831-position model. The record is from RNAcentral.